AGAACGAACGCUGGCGGCAUGCCUAACACAUGCAAGUCGAACGAGACCUUCGGGUCUAGUGGCGCACGGGUGCGUAACGCGUGGGAAUCUACCCUUGGGUUCGGAAUAACAGUGAGAAAUUACUGCUAAUACCGGAUGAUGACGUAAGUCCAAAGAUUUAUCGCCCAAGGAUGAGCCCGCGUAGGAUUAGCUUGUUGGUGAGGUAAAGGCUCACCAAGGCGACGAUCCUUAGCUGGUCUGAGAGGAUGAUCAGCCACACUGGGUCUGAGACACGGCCCAGACUCCUACGGGAGGCAGCAGUGGGGAAUAUUGGACAAUGGGCGAAAGCCUGAUCCAGCAAUGCCGCGUGAGUGAUGAAGGCCUUAGGGUUGUAAAGCUCUUUACCCGGGAUGAUAAUGACAGUACCGGAGAAUAAGCUCCGGCUAACUCCGCGCCAGCAGCCGC
Molecule: ribosomal RNA, 444 nt
Filed under: uncultured soil bacterium
Lineage: Bacteria
Description: bacterial SSU rRNA
Rfam family: Bacterial small subunit ribosomal RNA
Source: RNAcentral